GGCGCGAUGGCACAACUCGGUACUGCGCUAGCCUUGAGAGCUGGUUCCCGCAAGGGUUUCCCGGUUCGAAUCCGGGUCGCGCCG
This 84-nucleotide transfer RNA is filed under the name Candidatus Woesearchaeota archaeon. RNAcentral describes it as "tRNA-Ser". It matches the Rfam family "tRNA". Rfam says of the family: Transfer RNA (tRNA) molecules are approximately 80 nucleotides in length. The record is from RNAcentral. Lineage: Archaea; Nanobdellati; Candidatus Woesearchaeota.